GAGGGAUGACGACCUUCGGGUUGUAACCCUCUUUCACCAGGGACGAAGCGUGAGUGACGAUCCUGGAGAAGAAGCACCGCCCAACUCCGUGCCAGCAGCCGCGGUAAUACGUAGGGUGCGAGCGUUGUCCGGAAUUACUGGGCGUAAAGAGCUCGUAGUCGGUUUGUCACGUCGUCAUGUGAAAUUCUACAGCUUAACUGUAGGCGUGCAGGCGAUACGGGCACACUUGAGUACUACAGGGGAGACUGAAAUUCCUGAUGUACCGGUGAAAUGCGCAGAUAUCAGGAGGAACACCGGUGUCGAAGGCGGGUCUCUGGGUAGUAACUGACACUGAGGAGCGAAAGCAGUGGGUAGCGACCAGGAUUAGAUACCCUGGUAGUCCACGCCGUAAACGGUGGGUACUAGGUGUGGGGCUCAUUUCACGAGUUCCGUCCCGUAGCUAACGCAUUAAGUACCCCGCCUGGGGAGUACGACCGCAAGGCUAAAACUCAAAGGAAUUACCGGGGGCCCGCCCAAGCGGCGGAGCAUGUGGAUUAAUUCGAUCGCAACGCGAAGAUCCUUACCUGGGUUUGACAUACACCAAUCGCGGCUACAGAUAG
Molecule: ribosomal RNA, 599 nt
Filed under: bacterium MF_isolate_33
Lineage: Bacteria
Description: bacterial SSU rRNA
Rfam family: Bacterial small subunit ribosomal RNA
Source: RNAcentral